GCCAGUCCCGGCCGACCGGCCCUCCUUCCACGGCUGAGCGCCGGCCGGCUGGGACGCACACUCUGCGGCUCUGGCUCGCCGCUUUCCGUGCAUCCGAUGCCCACUAGUGUACCGGUGUUGAAGUGAAUCACAAGGAUUACGAUCGGGGCGUCCGCCCAGGGCUGAGCUCGCGGGUUCAGCUUUGCGCGGACCCUCGCGCCUGGUGACCUGAACUGUGUAGUCCGGGUGCGUCGGCGCGCCCGGUCCGCCUGCCGCGCAUGCCACGUCUCGUCCGCCCGCUCCCUUCCGCCGUGGUGUUUUCUCUCUUGCUUACGCCUUCUUACUAGGUGGUCGCGGCGUCGGUGCAUGCGUACCCAGCGGAAUGCCGGACCGGGUGCGGUUCGAGAAUGCUCUGCUGCGCAGCUCCUGUGCCGCCCCUGCGCGGGGUGCCGAGCCUUGCUGACCUAUUGCCGACGAAGACGAUAACCUGCAGCCUGUGCCCUGUCGCCUUUCACUCCACACCAGUCUUCACUCCCUCACACAAAUCAGAACUCUAUUAAGAUGAGCGCUGUAAUGCAGAAAUUAUAUUGUUCUUCACCUUCGCUAAUUGCUAAUAUUCAUCUGGGUGAAGAGAGCACUGACAUCGGGCAUAACACCGCGUAAUGUAAACGGCUUACUUCAUUUUCAACAAAGCUGACAGCGACAAUCAUUUUGCCUUCGACCAAUGGGGGACAGCUCCGCGAAACGUGUCAGCUCCCGGCCUUUCCUUCAUGUUAGCAGCAUAGCUUUCUGCGUUGCCGCUGUGUUCGCCGUGUUCACGCCCGCCGUGCUCACCGCCAGUUCACACGACGCUGUCAUUCUCCUCCUUCAACGGCUCAUAUUUCCUUACCUCGCCCAGCGAAUCAGUUUGGCCUGGUUUUAGUUGUGGAUGAUGUCUCAGUUGACGGUCUUGUUCCUUGAUUGUUUUGAACUGCACUGGCCUGGUGCAGCAAACUGUCGGUGGCUCUCUGUCCGGCUGGGUUAUUUGUUUUGCCCUUUUGUUUAGUCUUGUGUCGCAUUCGGGGCCGAUUGGCCUAUGCUGGCACAGCAGUGGUAAGCUGACACUCUGUUGACAUAUACUGACACGUGAUAACGGUAUUGUAGUCUUGUAAGCCCUGGUGUGAUAAACGUAUAUCAUCGGCGGCUUGUGACAAAAGGCGAGUAGGAAGCGGCUCAAGGUGCAAUAUAAGUCGAUCGCUUGUGUUCACGGUGUGUUGUGUGCCACCCUUACCCACAGGAAGAGAACAGCGGCCGUCGGUUGACACAAUCGGCGUCACGUCAGUGUCGGGCCGUGUGACUGCCGACAGCUAAGGGUGUCAGCUCGCAUUCGGGCUACAAGGGAGCAUGCGCUGCUGACCCCGCCGAAUUAUAUGAUGCGACUGUGAGAAGGGCGCGUUGCGUCAGGCCUCGCCAGGUGUGCGGGAUUUCCGUACGGAGUUUCGCCAGUCCUUGGAGAGGGGUGCGCAACGCUCUCUUCCGUUUCGUCUCCACUCAGCCAGGAUCACAAUUAGGCAGGUUAGUGUAGAUCACUCUGCUUUGGGACCAUAUUCUUCCGGGUUUGACCGCCGAGAAAAGGCUUCAGGUUAUGAUGAAGUCGACGUCCUUCAAAGCAAAUACCUAUUCGAACAAUUUUGAGUUUUUUGUAACCGUUGCCAUUUAUUAAUGCGUCACUUGCGAUGCGUCCGAAUAAGUCAAGUUUUCUCAUUUUAAGCAAUACAACUCAGUAUUGACUAAGCCUGAGGUAAAUCGAAGAUAAAAAGACGUUUUCACGCAUUUUGCUCCAGUUGACAUCGGAAACGUUCGCCACGUAUCACAAUUCUUACAGGUGCGUAUGUUAGAGGUGAUUGCUUAAACAUGCAAUCUGUUGGGUCCGUAACGCUAAUGAGAAAGAUUAUCGAAUGUAUGCAUUCAAGCUAUGCACCAGGCAUCAUACACAUAUAAUUCUAAGGCUAACAAUGUGAAUUGGGAUAACAACUUUUUCAGAACACGCUCGAAUGAAGCACUAAGUUGCAUCAUGCCACUUCUGCUUACCAUAAACCGCGAUCGGGGACUGGGGCCUGGAUUCGAGCUGGGCUGCUGCUGGCUGGUGGGCCAACACAUGGUGACGACUGAAAUAUUGCACAGCAGCCCAAACUUGAAGGUGACCUGACGAGUAGCGCUUAGCAGUAAAUGAUGUGCUUUAAUAACACUUCGGAAGUCAUAUCGACUACUAACAACAUAAUGUGGCAAGCACUUUGACCACAACGGUCUGUCUACCAGAUAAUCUAUAAGCAUGGGUAUUUGGUUUGUACAGGAAAAUCGUGGAGAAAAUGAGCGAAUUGGCCACAGUGGGCAUGUUGUUUUAUUUCUGUUUUGUGUUUUACUUUUUUAGGUCGCUCCAAAACAAGUGGUCAGGAUUCCUACUCUUACUCUCCCAACGAUGAAAAAACUACCUUUCACGGUAGAGAAAAUGCAAAAAGUGGGGACGCUCUCUAGGAGUACACGUAACAGCUUGACAUGCAGAGCUUGGUCAGUGGUACAUAUGAGUUCGUUACUCGAAAAAAAAACAGGGAAAAGCAAGUGAUCGCUGAAGCCAGCAAUCAUCAGGCUCUUAGUCCCCUCCAAACCCUGACGGUUAUUGCUACCAACUGUCAUUCAUUGGGUUUUCUUUUCUACCACUGUUUUAAUAACACGCUCGGCCCUCCAUUAAUAUCUAGCUCUUGCUCUUGCCCUCUUCGCCAAGUUCAUUCCUGCCCUUUGUGACUACUGAUACGAGAGAUGGCACAGCUGCGAAUGGAAAUCACCGCCUUAUGAUAUCUUCAAAGUACGUAUAAUGCAUUACCUUAAAAAGCGCAUACAAACGUUAGUAGACCUGGGAUCUGAAUCAACUGCGUUCCGACGGUUUUGGAAAGAUGUAACUAAAUCUACGAUGUGAAAUUUGCAAAGACUGAGUGCCUGUCAGCGACGUUGUUCCAUUUGUUGGUUUCCCGAACCGUAAACUUACUCAGCGUCGUAUGCCAGACAUUUUGUCAACACUAUUUGUCAGUUUCGCCAGUCGAGCGAGUAAAAAUAGAACAUCGAUGGAUAGCGGCGGCGCUCGGGGCAGUGGGCACGACAGGAGAGGGGGGGGGGGGCAGCAGGACCAGUUCGCGGACCCAGACUGAGUCACCGCACGAGGAGGACGGCAGCGCUAUGGGCGCCGUCCGAAGCUGCCGUGGUCUAGCUGCGGAGGCGGAGCCGACAGCGGGGGCUGCAGCGCGCCCGGACACCUUGGCUGGGAUCCAGCCAGGGUCCGACCCGGGGCGCCCAAGCCGGUCCGGGUCGGAUCCGGAACCAGACACACCGUCGUCUGGAGUCAGCCGACGCUGAUGACUGCAAUCCCGGAGAGCUCGCAGCGCUGCCAACGGUCGACUUCAGUUCGUCACACGCAGUGGUGCGGACACCAUGCCCGACGCCAUCGCUACCGCCCGUCAGCAGAGGUGGCCGGGGCGGCGCUGUUACCGUUCGCAGUAAGCUGCUGGAGUGUACCCUCGACUGGCUGCCUGCCCGCUCAUCGAGAGAAUACCCGCCACACCACAGUAGGCUGCCCGCCCGCGCCUCGAGGGAACACGCGCUGCGCCGCAGCAGCUCACCAGCUGGCGGGGGUAGAGCGGAGCCGACCAAGCCGACUCAUGAGAUGAACCAUGAGCUGACACGAGCAACAGACCCUCCUCUGUUGGACCUGUAGCAAAACGUACGUGUAGCACGUCAAACAGCGCACGCAGAACAUUGGCCUCGCAUACCUCGCAUAUUGCGCUCUCGUGUAUCGGUUUUAUGGGUACCGACAUUUUGUUCAGAGGCCUUGAAAGGGCUGUUAAAGGAGUAAGUUAACAAACAAAAAAACUGUGUUUUGCUCUGUGUGUGCUUUCAUUCCCUUGUUAUGGAGCAUUUUUGUUUGUUUAAAUUUGUGGUAGAGGAACUGACACCGUUGGGAUUAAUUGCAAAUCGUGUUUUCUGAUACGGCGCAGAACGACCUUCUGGGUACAUCAACACAGCGAUACUCACACAUUUAGAACCGUGUAAAAACAUACGCAUCUGUGCCGCUAAACAUUCGUUAAGUCAAUAUUUGUAUGUGGUAGGAGGAUUUAUUUAGGUCUCCUAUAUUACCUUGUGUGCUUGCAAUUGCAUUUCCAUGUUAUUAUCUUAUCUGGACCCAUGUGGAGCACCGCUGUGACUAGGAAUGGCAGUGAGGUUGGUAGAUCCAUGGCGAGUUAAAAGUAGAAUUCACCGCAAUACCAUGCUUUGUCUGAUCCCACAGCAUUGCCACGAAAUAAUCAGCAAGCGUUUCAGUACGGCCAGAUGUUCUGUGUUUUUGUUUCUCGUAGAUGAAGCUAAUAAUGUAUGACACCUUUCUGUUAAGCAUAAAAGGUUUCAGAUGCUCAUAAAAGCAACAACAGAGCUAGCCAGACAUGUUUGGUCUCAUUUAUGUACAUGUGCUGUGGGCUGAGUGGAGUCAAAUAUAAAUGCUUGCAUGACUGCUGUAGGUUGUUUCGGGACUGCGUUAUUGUCUGCCACAUCAUCGUUAAUCCACGUCCAUUCUGCUAAUAGCCAUCGGCUACUGAAAUCCGUUGGCCAUUUAGA
RNAcentral lists this long non-coding RNA (4617 nucleotides) under Pollicipes pollicipes. Its description in RNAcentral is "uncharacterized LOC119089565". Lineage: Eukaryota; Metazoa; Arthropoda; Thecostraca; Pollicipedomorpha; Pollicipedidae. The record is from RNAcentral.